CGAAAAUGGCAGAAAAGAAAGGGGUUUUGAAGCUCUGAAAUAUCAGCCACUUACAUCCCUUGCUAGUAAGUGAUUUUUAAUGUCUUUCUUGAUGAUUUUUACAUUUUUGGAACCCCUAAAGCAUGAGCUUUCAUAUGAGGGGUCUAUUUUGCAAAAUGAUGAAGAGUCUAGGGUUUUUCCAUGAGAGUAAAUAUGUUGUUUGCUGUGUUUUUAUGGAAGAUUAUGAGUCCUAGUUGUCUAAUAAACAACUUUUGUGAAAGAAAUUGCAUGAAAACACCUUAAAAAGGGCUAGAUUGCUAAGUUGUAAAAUGAGUUGUAAAUGUGUGAAAUAGUUGAAAUUAUGAGUUGCUAUAGUUAUGAAAAUGGUUCAUCUAGACUCAAGGAGUAAAGAAAUGUGAUAAAAAUUAUUUUACGAGCCUAGGGGUAAUUUGGUAAUUUUGGCAAAAUAUAGGGGUAAAAUUGUAAAAAUUGCUCAAGUGUGUCAAUGGACUAAUUUGAUCAGUACAUUGUUUUAAUAAGUUGAAUGUGAUAUUUUAGAUGAUGAAAAUCGAGAUUUGGACCUAGAACGAAAAAAAAUCGAUUAAGGGAUAAUUACGUCUUGUUUUACCUUUGUGGUAUCGAGGUAAGUUCAUAUGUAAAUGUUGGUAACAUAGUUAUUAUUUUAAAUGCUUUGAUGUUAUUUAAAUGAUAUGAUAAUUAUUAUGAGAUAUUAUACUUGUGAUAAUUGUUUGAUAAUAUGUCAAAUUAUAUGAUAUACUUGGAAAAUGUGAAAUACUAUCGAGUAUUGGUAUCGGCAUUCCGUAGAAGAUGGUUGAGACACAUGAUUGGGAAAAAGGUCCCGUUGAACCUUAGGAAUAGAUUAGGAUACAAGUGACAUGUCACUGGAAUAUUUGGGCAUCCGAGCUCGUUGAGUUGAGUCCGAGAUCACUUAUGGAUGCGAAUGUUUGAACUCGUUGAGUUGAGUCCGAGUUCGUGAGAUGUAACUAGGCAUCCGAGCUCGUUGAGUUGAGUCCGAGUUCACUUAUGGAUGCGAACGCCCGAGCUCGUUGAGUUCAGUCCGAGUUCACUUAUGGGCGGGUUACAUGGUAGCUUGGCUACAUAUGUGGCACUUAUGUGCAAACUUUCCAUGUAUCCAAAUUAUAUUCCGAUGUGUUCAAUGGGUAAAAUUCUACUCAAAUGGAGGAAUACUCGAGAUGAAAGGGACGUAUUGAUAAAUGUUGUGAAAUGGAUACUUUGAACAGGUAUGUACUUAACCCUCGGGUUGAAAACUCGGCAUAACAACAUGGUAAGAUGGUAAAUGAAAAUGUGAUAUGAAUGUCUCGGUGAUGAUUAUACAAAUGAUGUUGUAUUAAUUUUGUGAACAAUGAUCAUGAAUGAGUAAUUUAGCCUUGACAGAUUUGAGUUACUGCAGUAGUGUAACUUUGAAAAUACACUAAAAAUAGUGGAAAAUGAGUUAGAGGCAGAAUAAAAUAUGGGAUUAAAGCUUAAUACGUCUAUUUUCACAUGAAAGAAACAGAGGAAGAAAAAUAAUUCCAUAUUGUGUGAUAUUUGAAUUCUUGUGAAACAGGGUCUGAAUGAAUUCGAGAUCCCCUGUUCUGACUUUAUAAAUUCACCAAAAAUUGUACAAAAAUUAUUAAGAGUAAUAAGUUACAUGCAUGGAUUCCUUAUUGAGUCUAUUUUUAGGGGAAAUAAACGGAAUGGUUUUUGGAAUUCUGUACAGGGAGAAAUUCGGUUCGUAGUGCACAGGGGUAGGAGUGGUCAUACCCUGAAACAGGGGAGACUUUAACUAAUAAACUGUACUAAUUGGCCCAACCAAAAAUUCUAGAAAAAAAUUAGUAAAUAGAAAUAUGAGUCUAGUUUCAAGAGAAAUAGACGAGAACAUUAUUUGAGUCUUGUACUAUGAGAUAAUUGAACUUUAGUACAGAAGGGUCGGAACUAUCAGACAGUGAAUCAGGGGUAACUUUGAGGAAUAAACUGUACUAUUUGGCUUAACCAAAAAUUCUGGAAAUUUUUUGGAAGAAAGGAAAAUAAGUAUAGUUUCAUGGAAAUUUAACGGAACUUAAUUCGGAUUUUGGUAGCUCCAGAUAUAAAUAAAUUAGUGACUAUUGCUCAGAAAGACAGUUUGUAGUGAACUUGAGAAUAUGUUGUAAACAUUGAUAAAAUAAGUUAAUGAGUUGCUUAUUGUUUUCAUAUGAACUUAUUAAGCGAAAGCUUACCUCCCUUCUUUCCCAUGUUUCCUAGGGUUUCCAGGUUAGCUUGGGUUGGAGUUCGUCGGAGAUAUUAUCACACUGUCAAGCUAACGCUAUUGGUGUAGUGAUUUCAAGUACUUUGAGUCUAUGGCAUGUAUAGGAGUUUAAAUAUUAGAGUAUGUGAUAUGGCUUUGACCAUAUGUGUUGGCCUAUUUUGAUUAUGGGAUUGUAAAUUCAUUUUAAUUAUACAUGCAUGUGCUAUGGUAUUACGUGAUGAGCUUAUAAUGAUUAUAG
RNAcentral lists this long non-coding RNA (2483 nucleotides) under Gossypium barbadense (sea-island cotton). RNAcentral's name for it is "long non-coding RNA (GBAR_LNC011183)". The record is from RNAcentral. Lineage: Eukaryota; Viridiplantae; Streptophyta; Magnoliopsida; Malvales; Malvaceae.